CCCUUAGAUGUCCUGGGCCGCACGCGCGCUACACUGAGUGUCUGAGAUAUGAGGCAUGCCUGGUCCGGCAAGGUCUAGGUAAUCACGAAAAGGCACAUCAUGCUUGGGAUUGAUUAUUGCAAAUUUUAAUCAUGAACGAGGAAUUCCUAGUAAGUGCAAGUCAACAGCUUGCGUUGAUUACGUCCCUGCCCUUUGUACACACCGCCCGUCGCUCCUACCGAUUGAGUGGUCCGGUGAGGCUUUGGGAUCUGAGCGGAAAGAGCGUUUCGCUGUUUCUGCUCGGAAAACUCAGUCGAACCUUAUCAUUUAGAGGAAGGAGAAGUCGUAACA
Molecule: ribosomal RNA, 330 nt
Filed under: uncultured eukaryote
Lineage: Eukaryota
Description: partial 18S ribosomal RNA
Rfam family: Eukaryotic small subunit ribosomal RNA
Source: RNAcentral